AGAACGAACGCUGGCGGCAUGCCUAACACAUGCAAGUCGAACGCUCUUGGGGCUUCGGUCUCAGGGGAGUGGCGCACGGGUGAGUAGCGCGUGGGAACCUGCCCUGUUGUGGGGGAUAACCGAGGGAAACUUCGGCUAAUACCGCAUAAGCCGGUUGUCUUGAAGGAGAUGGCCGGGAAAGAUUUAUCGCGACAGGAGGGGCCCGCGUCGGAUUAGCUAGUUGGUGGGGUAACGGCCCACCAAGGCGGUGAUCCGUAGCUGGUCUGAGAGGAUGAUCAGUCACACUGGGACUGAGACACGGCCCAGACUCCUACGGGAGGCAGCAGUGGGGAAUAUUGGACAAUGGGCGCAAGCCUGAUCCAGCAAUGCCGCGUGAGUGAUGAAGGCCUUAGGGUUGUAAAGCUCUUUCGCCCGCGACGAUGAUGACGGUAGCGGGAGAAGGAAGCCCCGGCUAACUUCGUGCCAGCAGCCGC
RNAcentral lists this ribosomal RNA (473 nucleotides) under uncultured bacterium. RNAcentral describes it as "SSU rRNA". It matches the Rfam family "Bacterial small subunit ribosomal RNA", at positions 26 to 518 of the family's 1533-position model. The record is from RNAcentral.